CUGGUUGAUCCUGCCAGACCCGACUGCUAUCGGAUUGGGACUAAGCCAUGCGAGUCAACUCCGCAAGGGGUGGCGCACGGCUCAGUAACACGUAGUCAACCUACCCUGGGGACGGGGAUAACCUCGGGAAACUGAGGCUAAACCCCGAUGGGCCAUGGCUCCUGGAAUGGGCUAUGGCUGAAAUCUACAUGGCCCCAGGAUGGGACUGCGGCCGAUCAGGUUGUUGGUGGGGUAAUGGCCCACCAAGCCUAUAACCGGUGCGGGCUCUGAGAGGAGGAGCCCGGAGAUGGGCACUGAGACAUGGGCCCAGGUCCUAUGGGGCGCAGCAGGCGCGAAACCUCCGCAAUGGGCGAAAGCCCGACGGGGUCAGUCCGAGUGGUUCCCGCUGAGGGAACCUUUUGCCAGCUGUAAACAGGCUGGCGAAUAAGGGGUGGGCAAGUUUGGUGUCAGCCGCCGCGGUAAUACCAGCACCCCGAGUGGUCGGGACGAUUAUUGGGCCUAAAGCAUCCGUAGCCGGCCCAGUAAGUCCUCCGUUAAAUCCAACGGCUCAACCGUUGGGCUGCGGGGGAUACUGCUGGGCUAGGGGACGGGAGAGGCGAGGGGUAUUCCCGGGGUAGGGGUAAAAUCCACUGAUCCCGGGAGGACCACCAGUGGCGAAGGCGCCUCGCUAGAACGUGCCCGACGGUGAGGGAUGAAAGCUGGGGGAGCGAACCGGAUUAGAUACCCGGGUAGUCCCAGCCGUAAACGAUGUAGGCUCGGUGUUGGGCUGCCUCAGUGGCAGCCCAGUGCCGCAGGGAAGCCGUUAAGCCUACCGCCUGGGGAGUACGGCCGCAAGGCUGAAACUUAAAGGAAUUGGCGGGGGAGCACCAC
This 870-nucleotide ribosomal RNA is filed under the name uncultured archaeon. RNAcentral describes it as "bacterial SSU rRNA". It matches the Rfam family "Archaeal small subunit ribosomal RNA", at positions 4 to 882 of the family's 1478-position model. The record is from RNAcentral.